AAAGUAAUUGAUUUUAUUACUCAAUCUAGAGCUUAUUUAUGAUAAACAUGUAAGUUUUGGCGUAUCUAUUGAUCUUAUUAAAUAUAAGAUUUAUUAUUUAUAAAAAUUCAGUUUUUAAUAUUACAUUAUUUUUAUAACUAAAAUAGUAGCAAUAAAUUUUAAUACUAACUAAUUUUAGUGCCAGCAGUUGCGGUUACUCUAAUAGUAUAAUUUUAGGUUUUUCAGUUAGGUAUUAAAUUUAAAAUAUUUUAAUAAUAAUUAUUUUUAUUAAGUGAAAUUUUAAAAUUAUAUUUGUUAAAGGUUUAUUAUAUAUUAAAUUUUAAAUUAAAACUAGGAUUAGAUACCCUAUUAUUAAAAAUUAAAUUUUUGGCUAUAUUAUUAAAAGGUAAAUUCUUUAAAAUAAAUAGAUUUGGCGGUAAUUAAUUAAUUUUUUAGAGGAACCUGCCCUUUAAUUGAUACACCACGAUUAAUUUCAUUUCUGUUUUUACUUAUAUACCUCUAUCAUUGAAUGUUUUAUUAGAAUAACUUUCUUAAAUUAUUUUAUAUACUUAAUGUUAGGUCAAGGUUUAGUUAUAUAGAAGUAGAGGUGGGUUACAUUAAUGUUAAUUUUAGAUUAAAAGUUAUGAAACUUUUAUGAAAUUGGAUUUAAUUGUAAUUUUAAUUUUAUAAUUAAGAUGAAAUUUUUAAAGUUAUGUACAUAUCGCCCGUCACUCCCAAACAUUGGGAUAAGUCGUAACAAAGUAGGAUUACCGGAAGGUAACCCUGGUAAGUAA
RNAcentral lists this non-coding RNA (773 nucleotides) under Plerochila australis. Lineage: Eukaryota; Metazoa; Arthropoda; Insecta; Hemiptera; Tingidae. The record is from RNAcentral.